This 220-nucleotide unclassified non-coding RNA is filed under the name soil metagenome. RNAcentral describes it as "partial contains 5.8S ribosomal RNA, internal transcribed spacer 2, and large subunit ribosomal RNA". The record is from RNAcentral.
AACAAGGCGUACCUGCGGACCUGCGGAAGGAUCAUUACCAGAGUGCCUUCAGGCUCUCCAACCCACUGUGAACAUACCUACGUUCCCCCGGCGGGCUCAGCGCGCGGCGGCUCCGGCCGCCCGCGUCCGCCGAGGGCAUCUCAAACCCGAAUUUAUUCGUGUCUUCUGAGGGGCGAAAGCCCGUAAAGCAAAAUGAAUCAAAACUUUUAACAACGGAUCU